UCCGGUUUGUCACCGGCAGUCUCAUUAGAGUGCCCAACUGAAUGUGGCAACUAAUGACAAGGGUUGCGCUCGUUGCGGGACUUAACCCAACAUCUCACGACACGAGCUGACGACAACCAUGCACCACCUGUGAACCGACCGCAAGCGGGGCACCUGUUUCCAGGUAUUUCCGGUCCAUGUCAAGCCUUGGUAAGGUUCUUCGCGUUGCAUCAAAUUAAACCACAUGCUCCGCUGCUUGUGCGGGCCCCCGUCAAUUCCCUUGAGUUUUAGCCUUGCGGCCGUACUCCCCAGGCGGAGUGCUUAACGCGUUAGCUGCGGCGCCGCAGGGGUCAAUACCCGCGACACCUAGCACUCAUCGUUUACAGCGUGGACUAC
This 375-nucleotide unclassified non-coding RNA is filed under the name uncultured bacterium. RNAcentral's name for it is "contains 16S-23S intergenic spacer region". The record is from RNAcentral.